AUGGUGGAUCCAAUUACCCUUAGUGCUGCUGUAGGAUGGGGCGUAACCGCAGUAGGUUGGCUCGCCUCACCCAUCAUUCCUAGACUCCUCAACAAAGCUUUCACCCUCCUUGAAUUUGACGCAACAGAGAAGCUGGAGAUACUUGACAUACAAGUUUUACACCUGCAGCGGGUGAUGGAAGUAGUCGACGAGAGCACUUACAGGGUUCAUUUGGAGCCACCGUUAGACAAGCUUAAAUCUGCUAUCUAUGAAGCCGAAGAUAUCUUGGAUAGCAUCGAGUAUCAGCGCCUCAAGAAGCAGAUCGAAGAUGGCAAGUCAGAUGGCAGUAAGAUGGAUUCGCUGAAGAAGAAAGUUCGGUUUGCCAUGCCAAGCUCCCCCCUAAAAGAUAAGGACAGUGGUUUGCCAAAAUUAGAGUUGGAAAAGAGCCUAAAGAAGAUAGAAAUUGCUAUAAGUGGUGCAUGUAUAGUCUUGGAACAACUGAACUUGCCAGGUCUAAUUAAUGAUAAUGGGAGACCAGCUGUUGCCACCAAUGCACGCAGUGCAGGCAUUAGUCCUCCAGUACGUGUAAUUGGUCGAGAUAAGGAUCGCCACAUGAUCAUAGCAAUGCUACAUGAGAAGGAAAACCAGUGCCAGGCAAACACUGUUAGCGGUACAUGUUAUUCUGUGAUUGGUAUUCAUGGCAUCGCUGGGUCUGGAAAAUCAACACUUGCACGGUGUAUUUAUGAUCAUGAGAAAAAGCAGAAGCAAGAGAACAAGGAAGGCCAUUUCGAGAUUGUCAUCUGGGUUCACGUUUCACAGAAAUUUGAGUUGGAUUCUAUUUUCAGGGACAUGUUUGAGGGUGCUACUGGGAAAGAGUGCCCAAAAUUAAACAGUCUUCACGCCCUAAAAGAAAGACUGGAGGAGGUACUGCUUGGGAAACGGAUUUUGUUGAUACUGGAUGAUGUCUGGCACAACAAUAGGAAUUCAGAAGACCAUGAAGAACUACAAAAGUUAAUUUCUCCGCUGAAUGUUGGGAAGGCAGGAAGCAGAAUCUUGGUGACUAGUCGAACUGAAGAUGCAUUAUUAGCUCUGGGUGCUGUUCAAGAGAGAUGCAUUCCAAUAUCUGACCUGGAUGAUGAAAUGUUCCUUGAAAUGUUCAUGUAUUAUGCACUUGGAGAUGCAAGGGUAGGUGGCCAUGAUCGAAGAAAACUUGAAAUGAUUGGAGAGGACAUUGCAAAAAAGCUUAAGAGGUCACCUCUAGCAGCCAGAACAGUGGGUGCACGUCUCCGUAAAAACCCAAAGGUUGAGAUUUGGAUGAGGGAGAAGGAUCGGGACCUUCUGAAAGAGACAAUGGGAGCUCUGUGGUGGAGCUACCAGUAUCUCGAUGAGCAGGUCAGGCGAUGCUUCGCUUACUGCAGUAUUUUUCCGAGACGACAUCGGUUGUUACGUGAAGAGUUAGUCAAGUUGUGGGUGGCAGAAGGAUUUAUAAAGACUAGUAAGCCUGAAGAGGAAAUGGAAGAUGUUGCUCGGGAGUACUUUAAUGAAUUGCUGUCGGCCUCAUUUCUGCAACCUGGACAUGAUGGUAUGGUUGAUUACUUUACAAUACAUGACCUCCUGUGUGAUUUAGCGGAGGAGGUUUCUGGAAGAGAUUGCUUCAGGAUGGAGAAAGGCUUCACAGGAGAAGUUCCUCAAGAUGUUCGCUAUCUUUUUGUUGGGACUUAUGACAGGGAGAAGCUUACUAAGAAGAUAUCUGGACUGCAGAAUUUACGCACUCUCAUCAUCAAUGACGUAAUACGCGUUGAAUCAAACGCGUGUGAAUUUUUCGCGUGUAUGUUCACUAUGUUGACGGGGCUGCGGAAAUUGCGGGCACUGAAUAUAAAAAUACAGGUCAUUGAACCUCAUUACUGUAUCUCAGUCCCUGAUUCUAUUGGUCAGUUGAAGCAUCUGCGUUGUUUUGUUUUCAUGGUGGGUGCAGUAACCGGCGUAACUUUACCAGGCGCUUUUACCAAGCUUUACCACAUGCAGGUGGCAGAUUUUGGUUACUGCAUGGGAUUAACGUUUUCUAGUGAAGAUAUGAUGAACCUCGUCAACUUGCGCUGUGUGAUCAGCAGGACAAAUCUGGAAUUUCCGAACAUUGGCAGGUUGACAUGGCUCCAAAUGUUAUCGUUGUACGCAAUUAGGAAGGAACCACUGGUAGAAAAAAGCCCUUUAGUCCCGGUUCGCAACAGCCUUUAG
RNAcentral lists this ribosomal RNA (2214 nucleotides) under Triticum aestivum (bread wheat). RNAcentral describes it as "partial small subunit ribosomal RNA". The record is from RNAcentral. Lineage: Eukaryota; Viridiplantae; Streptophyta; Magnoliopsida; Poales; Poaceae.